Molecule: long non-coding RNA, 4119 nt
Organism: Equus caballus (horse)
Lineage: Eukaryota; Metazoa; Chordata; Mammalia; Perissodactyla; Equidae
Source: Ensembl
AACAGGUCUCCAAUCCACUCCAUCAAAACUAGAACCAAAAACUUUGACAGAGUUCCCUUAAGACAGAGAGAAACACAGAAAACACAUUCCAUCUGGUAAAUAAUUGCUGGGGUUGCAUUCCUGUGCAUUCAGGCAGGAGCGAACUUCUCUACGGCAUAAAGCUGUGAAAAUGGCUGGGCCUAAUGGGGCGACGUGAGAUAAGAUCCCCUUAGACCUCUCCUAUCCUCGGAUUGCAGCCUCUGGGGUGCUGGUGCAUGCUAGACUCUCCGCUCACCCACACUCGGAUGAACUAGACAGACGCAAGAUUAUUCCAAGAUGACUGAGAAGUUCACUCUGAAGUACAAAAGGUUGGAUGGACUCAUGCCGCCAAUAUUCCACAGGAAUGAAGAGGAAUAUUUGCCAAGGUGGCUUUCAGAUGCCCAUCGUGGCAGAACAAGGUCAGAUGUGGUUCUAAGUUACCUGGCUUCUUCCUAAAGAGCAGUAAUGACAACAAAAGCCUGGAGCUACAAGGCGCCAUCACAUAGAACCUGAGAAUGAAGCAAUAACUGCAGAAAGGGGAACCAAUAGACGGAGAGAAUCUGAGUCCUGAGGUCAUUGGCUGAGACGCUGAUCAAGCUGAACCUGAAGCCGGUGCUUCCCCUGGACUUUCAGUGCAAGUAAGGACUACUGGCAGCAAAAGUCUUAUUUUAUGCCUUCCUGUGAUGGAAAAACUAGGGAGUCUGUACCACCUGGACUGAAGACUGACUUGGAUCUCGGGGCCAACAGAACUUUGUUCCAAGUUCCAAGGCCAUCGUUGGAAUCAGUGGGUCAUUAACAGCGCACUAGAGGGCACUGAGCUAAAGGUCCCUGCACAUAUGGAAGCGCACAGGGGCACGGUUUGGGAUUAUUGGGAGAAUGCAUGAGUCAAUGGCUACGGAAAAUGCUGCACACCUACUCUGUGAAGAGGGAAGCGCCAAGAACAACUGCCACUUUCAUUUGGGGUCAGGAUUCUUGAUUCCUGCUAUCUGUUGACGUCUAUAAUCUUGGUGUUAUGCUUACAAGGGAGAGCCUCAAGCGGUAUUAAGUAUAUUAUUUUAAGAAUGAUGUGGCUUCUGGCAUCAUAUUUUGAAAAUCAAAGAUUGUAAUUUUAGGGAUAAUGGAAUACUCAAAAGGGAGUAUUCUGUAAAGCUGAGGGUGUAUGGUCAGCAGAGAGAUAUUCUUUACAAACAGUGGACUACGAGUUAGGAGAUGGCCUCAAGUCCCUCCCCCGUCAGUGAUCUUGAGCCAUUGUGGCAACACAUUCUGGGCCUCGUCCCCCCCCCAUCUGUAAAAUGGGGGUGUUUGACUCAUUGUUUCUUAACUGGGGUGAAUUCUGGAGUCACCUGGGAAGAUCCCCAAAGGCAGAAUUCUGGUUUUGUUUCUUGCUGUGUUUCUAAGGCAUAGAAAAGUACUUGGCACAGGGUAAAUACUCAAUAAAUAUUUUUUUAAUGAAGAAAUAAAACUUUUAAAAAAUUCACAGAGCAGGAUCCAGUCCAGAAAGCUCACAUCGUAUGGGCUAGAAACUGUACAUACAUUUUGUAAAAGCCCUCUGGAUCAUUUUGCCAAGCACUCUGGGCUUAAGAACCACUAAACCCAACAAUCCCCAAGGUUCCUUCCCUGAAGAAUUGUCAGAUUUAGCAAAGAAAAAUGUAAGACAUCCAGUUAAAUUUGAAUUUCAGAUAAACAAUGAAAAUGUUUUAGUCUAAAUAUGUACCAUGCACUAUUUGGUUGUCGCAAAACUUGUAGAAAGAUGACUAGGUAAGGCUUCUGCUUAGGCUGAUGGUUAGAGGCAGAGGGUGGCACCUUGAAACUGGCCCAGAUUUGGGAAUCAGACAGAUAAUCUUGGUCUGAGUCUCUGCCCUGAUUGUGUGAUCUGAACAAAUUGCUCAACUUCACUGGGCUUCGUAACUCGAGUGUCUAUCCUGUAGAGCUGCUGAAAGUAUUGGAGAUAUUACAGGAAUGAUGGUAGCAGGUAUCUGAUAACGUUUAGCUGUUUUUACUGUUGGUUUGAAGAAAGAAAGUCAGUAUCAAUGAGACCUUUGUUGACACACUGUCAACUAGCAAACUGGCAUUCUGAAAUGACCAAGAUUAUAGGUAAUAGUUCUGGGCAGACCUGGGCAAAGUUAGAGGGAACGCUGAUCUUCUUUAGAACAAUACCUCUAUGUGUGGGGGAACAAAACAUACUAAAAAUUAAUAGAUUAUCCAGAAUAAAUAAAGGAAGGAAGUUCUUUCGUUUCAUUCAUUAUAAAAUGUCAUUUGCUCAACUGACUUUUUCUAAUGUCAAAGGUAAACAUUUGUUCAGGUUUUACAGGGUCACUAUACAGAGGGAUAGACUAUUAUUUGGGCAGUGGAAGUACUUCAAUCCUAACCUUGUUUCCCUCUCUUCUAGGUUAAAGACACAGUCUGUUUCUAGAGCUUCUGUUGUUUCUAGAAAUUUCUAACGCAUUUCUUCUGUUUAAAAAAUACACAUGCAACAAAUAUGAAAUAUUCAUUAAAAGGAAACGGUUCUCUCUAGAAAAAUCUAUUUGGACAAAAAUCUUUAGAUAAUUUCAUUAUCAAAUGUGAAGAGCUACGGCUGGAAAAUAAAUUGACCAUUACAUUUUCAACUGAGCUACUCGGAUAUCAACUGCAUACUUUAAGCCCCCUGUUGUUAUUUCGUUGUCUAUCCACCACAUAUUUAUUGUUGAGCCUGUAUUAUAUACUGGAGACUGUUCUAAGUGCUUGGGAUCCUUAGUGAACAAAACAGACCCAAAUCCUUGCCUCUGUGGAGCUUGUCUUCUGGGAUAGAGAGAGAAACAGAAGCACCCUAGAUAAGUGAGUUAAGUAGGAUACAGAUGGCGCAAUCUGUUGGUGAUGGAAGGAGCCGUGCUGAUCUGGGGGAUGAGAAGAGGGGCGUCAAGCACAAAUGACCUAAGGCAGGAGCCUGCCUGGAGUGUUCCAAGAAUAGCAAGGAGGCCAAUGUGGCUGCAGUGGAGAGAGGACAGAGGGAGUAGAAGGAGAGAAGACCAAGUAACUAUUAUCCUAAUCAUGAUAAAGGACUCCACGAAUCUAACUUCCAGUUUUGAGUUUUAGUUUACUUACUCUGUGACUACAGGGAGAUCCUGAACUGCUUACCUGGAAUGGUGGUCCUUAACUUGUAAAACAUGGGUAGGUUAGAGAUUUACUUCACAAAACUAUGACUAGAGGGAAUCAGUAUAUAGCUUAGUGAUGAUGUAUGUGCUUUAAUGGAUGGAUCUGAGUUCACAGUCUGACUUCCUUACUUGCUAGAGGUGUGCCCUUGGGCAAGUUCCUUCAACUCUCUGUGCUUCAAGUUCCAUCUCUAUGAAAUAAGGCAACUAAAAUUACCCCCUUUCAAACUGUGAGGGUUAGAGGAGAGGGUCUGUGUAAAAUGCUUAGCACAGAGCUUGGCACAUAGAAAGUACUAAAUAAAUAUCAUCAUUAUUUCUUGAAAAGUAUAAUUAGGAGGAUUAGGUACUUUGAAAUAUCUAUUUAAUAUUUAAUAUCAAAACAUGUUUUCAGUAAAAGUGUCUUAUUAUUGUUAUUACUAGUGGUAGCGAGCCUCCAAGAUGAUCCCCAAUGAUCCCUGUCUCUGAGUAUUCACACCCUUGUAUAGUCCCCUCCCACAUUGUACCAGGAUUGGUCUAUGUGACCAUAGAAUAUGGCAGAAGUGAUGGUAUGUCACUUUUGAGAUUAAGUUAUAAAAGACACUGUGGCUACCAUCUUAGUCAUUCAUUCUCUCUCUCAAUCAUCACUUGUUCUGGGGGAAGCCAGCUGCCAUGUCAUGAGCAGCCCUAGGGAGAGGUAUCCCUUAUGGAGAAGUCCACGUGACAAGGAACUGAGGCUUUUUGCCAACACCAUGUGCGUUAGGGCCUCCUUGGAAGUGAACCCACUAGCCUUGGUCAAGUCUUCAGAUGAAAGCAGCCCUCACUGACGUCUCGACUGCCGCUUCAUGAGACCCUGAGGCAGAACUAUGCAGCUAAGCAGAUCCCAGAUUCCUGCCCCUCAGAAACUGUGAGAUGAUAAAUGUUUGUUGUCUCAAACUUCUAAGUUUUGGGGUAAUUUGUUUAUGCAGCAAUAAAUAACUAAUACAAUAGUUUACAU